UACGUAGGGCGCAAGCGUUGUCCGGAAUCAUUGGGCGUAAAGCGCGCGUAGGCGGCCCGAUAAGUCCGCUGUGAAAGUCAACGGCUCAACUGUUGAAUGCCGGUGGAUACUGUCGGGCUAGAGUCCGGAAGAGGCAAGUGGAAUUCCUGGUGUAGCGGUGGAAUGCGCAGAUAUCAGGAGGAACACCUAUAGCGAAGGCAGCUUGCUGGGACGGUACUGACGCUAAGGCGCGAAAGCGUGGGGAGCGAACAGG
RNAcentral lists this ribosomal RNA (253 nucleotides) under uncultured bacterium. RNAcentral describes it as "partial 16S ribosomal RNA". It matches the Rfam family "Bacterial small subunit ribosomal RNA", at positions 524 to 776 of the family's 1533-position model. The record is from RNAcentral.